This 470-nucleotide ribosomal RNA is filed under the name uncultured organism. RNAcentral's name for it is "partial 16S ribosomal RNA". It matches the Rfam family "Bacterial small subunit ribosomal RNA", at positions 335 to 797 of the family's 1533-position model. The record is from RNAcentral.
ACUCCUACGGGAGGCAGCAGUGGGGAAUUUUGGACAGUGGGCGAAAGCCUGAUCCAGCAAUGCCGCGUGAGUGAAGAAGGCCUUCGGGUUGUAAAGCUCUUUUGUCAGGGAAGAAACGGUGAAAGCUAAUAUCUUUUGCUAAUGACGGUACCUGAAGAAUAAGCACCGGCUAACUACGUGCCAGCAGCCGCGGUAAUACGUAGGGUGCAAGCGUUAAUCGGAAUUACUGGGCGUAAAGCGUGCGCAGGCGGUUUUGUAAGUCUGAUGUGAAAUCCCCGGGCUCAACCUGGGAAUUGCAUUGGAGACUGCAAGGCUAGAAUCUGGCAGAGGGGGGUAGAAUUCCACGUGUAGCAGUGAAAUGCGUAGAUAUGUGGAGGAACACCGAUGGCGAAGGCAGCCCCCUGGGUCAAGAUUGACGCUCAUGCACGAAAGCGUGGGGAGCAAACAGGAUUAGAUACCCGAGUAGUCCC